This 77-nucleotide transfer RNA is filed under the name Parashewanella spongiae. Its description in RNAcentral is "Shewanella spongiae tRNA-Val". It matches the Rfam family "tRNA". Rfam says of the family: Transfer RNA (tRNA) molecules are approximately 80 nucleotides in length. Their secondary structure includes four short double-helical elements and three loops (D, anti-codon, and T loops). Further hydrogen bonds mediate the characteristic L-shaped molecular structure. tRNAs have two regions of fundamental functional importance: the anti-codon, which is responsible for specific mRNA codon recognition, and the 3' end, to which the tRNAs corresponding amino acid is attached (by aminoacyl-tRNA synthetases). tRNAs cope with the degeneracy of the genetic code in two manners: having more than one tRNA (with a specific anti-codon) for a particular amino acid; and 'wobble' base-pairing, i.e. permitting non-standard base-pairing at the 3rd anti-codon position. The record is from RNAcentral. Lineage: Bacteria; Pseudomonadati; Pseudomonadota; Gammaproteobacteria; Alteromonadales; Shewanellaceae.
ACAACCGUAGCUCAGUUGGCUAGAGCACUACCUUGACAUGGUAGGGGUCGGUGGUUCGAAUCCACUCGGUUGUACCA